UUUGGUAGGUGUCUCAGCAUUCAGUAGCUGUACAUUCAUCCGAGUCCCUCCGUUGGAAAUCGAGUCUUCUUUUUGAGAUGUAUAGACAAACUUGAUGUAAAUUAUUAAGAUACAUGUUGUAGGCAAUGUACACUUAAUUGAUAUGCCAGUAUGAGUUGGCGAAUGUUUAAUUUUAUUAUGAUUCUAAGUUAUGAAAUAUGACUUAGCAGUUAUGAUGGAAUAAUGAAUACGUUAGAUUAAUAGGCUUGCUUGG
RNAcentral lists this long non-coding RNA (253 nucleotides) under Theobroma cacao (cacao). RNAcentral's name for it is "long non-coding RNA (TCAC_LNC004592)". Lineage: Eukaryota; Viridiplantae; Streptophyta; Magnoliopsida; Malvales; Malvaceae. The record is from RNAcentral.